This 433-nucleotide ribosomal RNA is filed under the name uncultured bacterium. RNAcentral's name for it is "partial 16S ribosomal RNA". It matches the Rfam family "Bacterial small subunit ribosomal RNA", at positions 29 to 507 of the family's 1533-position model. The record is from RNAcentral.
AACGAACGCUGGCGGCAGGCCUAACACAUGCAAGUCGAACGAAUCCUUCGGGCUUAGUGGCGCACGGGGGGGUAACGCGUGGGAACAUGCCCUUAGGUUCGGAAGAACUCGCGGAAAGAGGUGCUAAUACCGGAUCUUAUCUUCGGACCAAAGAUUUCUCGACAUUGGAUGGGCCCGCGUCGGAUUAGCUAGUUGGUAGGGUAAAAGCCUACCAAGGCGACGAUCCAUAGCUGGUCUGAGAGGAUGACCAGCCACACUGGGACUGAGACACGGCCCAGACUCCUACGGGAGGCAGCAGUGGGGAAUAUUGGACAAUGGGCGAAAGCCUGAUGCACCAAUGCCGCGUGAGUGAUGAAGGUCUUAGGGUUGUAAAGUUCUUUUAUCCGGGACGAUAAUGACGGUACCGGCAGAAUAAGCUCCGGCUAACUUCGUG